GAAAAAAUACAGAGCAGAACGUGUGAUAUUUUAGACAAGGAGAUAUGACUCCAGUAAGACCUGAGCUACAGCAGCUCACAUGUGAGUUAACUGCAGCUCUCAGAAGUGCGUGUGAGGAACGUGAGCACAGCCCAGCUGGGUUGGACCAAAUCUCAGCCCGGCUCAGCAUCCUGUCCAGCAGCCAGCAGCAGAGAAUGCCCAGAGGAAGGCUGGUGUGCAGCUGUCAGACUUCCUAUCAGCUGGACUUUGAAACCUCUACGAGCUCUGCUGUCAACACGACUGAUCAGCUUUUAUUGUGUUCAGCUCUGCAAAUUCACAGCCAGAGCCAUCUAUUGCACUCCCAUUUUUCAAUACCGCUCCUAUUUUUUCCACUUUUAUAUAUACGUGCAAAGUGGUAAAAUGCAAGUUUAGAAGGCCUGCUAUGAAGAUCAAUCAUAC
Gallus gallus (chicken) is the source of this 438-nucleotide long non-coding RNA. The record is from Ensembl. NCBI's taxonomy places the organism in Eukaryota, Metazoa, Chordata, Aves, Galliformes, Phasianidae.